AGUGAACGCUGGCGGCGUGCCUAAUACAUGCAAGUCGAACGAACGAAUAAGAGCUUGCUCUUAUAAGUUAGUGGCGCACGGGUGAGUAAUAUAUAGCUAAUCUGCCUCUUAGUAGAGGAUAACAGUCGGAAACGAUUGCUAAUACUCUAUACUUCUGCUUUACAUAAGUAAAGUAGAGAAAGUUUUUCGCUAAGAGAUGAGGCUAUACUGUAUCAGCUAGUUGGUAAGGUAACGGCUUACCAAGGCUAUGACGCAUAACUGGUCUGAGAGGAUGAUCAGUCACAUUGGAACUGAGACACGGUCCAAACUCCUACGGGAGGCAGCAGUAGGGAAUAUUGCGCAAUGGGGGAAACCCUGACGCAGCAACGCCGCGUGGAGGAUGACACUUUUCGGAGCGGAAACUCCUUUUAUCGGGAAAGAAUAAUGACGGUACCCGAUGAAUAAGCACCGGCUAACUCCGUG
Molecule: ribosomal RNA, 462 nt
Filed under: uncultured bacterium
Lineage: Bacteria
Description: partial 16S ribosomal RNA
Rfam family: Bacterial small subunit ribosomal RNA
Source: RNAcentral